AUACAGAUGCAUUACGAAAAGAAGAUACAGAUGUUUUACAAAAAAAGAAAAGAUACAGAUGCAUCAGUGAUGCUAUUUGUUCAGCUAAACAUAAGUGCAUUAAUUCUGAAAUACUAUAUUUGCCAUUAUUUCUGAAGCUUCAAUAGAAAACAGUAUCAGAUUAUCUGCGUAUUGCAUAAUCUUGCUUCAUGCUACAACUUACAUAUUUGUUAACAAGCAGGUCACUAUGGAAGUGAACUGAUGAAGGAAGAGGGAUCCGGAGGCGUGGGGAUCUGCACUGCUCCAUCAAGCAUCUGUGUCACUUUAAGCAUGGUUGGCCGCAUAGUCGGCUCCUCCUGGAGGCACCAAAGGGCGACAGCCACGAAUCGCUCUGCCUUUUUUAUGUUGAAGUUUGCCUCAUCGUCGCCUUCCACCAGCAAGUCGAUCCUCCCAGACCUGUAACAGUCGUUUGCCCAGUAAGUUAGUAUCGCCUGCUCUUCAUCGUCGAUUUCUACCUCCACAUUCCUCCUGCAGCACACAAGCUCAAGCAGGAUCACACCAAAGCUGUAAACAUCGACUUUGGAGGUGAUCCCUAUGUUCUUGAACCACUCUGGGG
This 595-nucleotide long non-coding RNA is filed under the name Triticum aestivum (bread wheat). RNAcentral describes it as "long non-coding RNA (TAES_LNC020018)". Lineage: Eukaryota; Viridiplantae; Streptophyta; Magnoliopsida; Poales; Poaceae. The record is from RNAcentral.